RNAcentral lists this ribosomal RNA (428 nucleotides) under uncultured soil bacterium. RNAcentral's name for it is "bacterial SSU rRNA". It matches the Rfam family "Bacterial small subunit ribosomal RNA", at positions 952 to 1380 of the family's 1533-position model. The record is from RNAcentral.
CGUCGAGCACGCGAGACUUACCUGGUCUUGACAUCCACGGAAGUUUUCAGAGAUGAGAAUGUGCCUUCGGGAACCGUGAGACAGGUGCUGCAUGGCUGUCGUCAGCUCGUGUUGUGAAAUGUUGGGUUAAGUCCCGCAACGAGCGCAACCCUUAUCCUUUGUUGCCAGCGGUCCGGCCGGGAACUCAAAGGAGACUGCCAGUGAUAAACUGGAGGAAGGUGGGGAUGACGUCAAGUCAUCAUGGCCCUUACGACCAGGGCUACACACGUGCUACAAUGGCGCAUACAAAGAGAAGCGACCUCGCGAGAGCAAGCGGACCUCAUAAAGUGCGUCGUAGUCCGGAUUGGAGUCUGCAACUCGACUCCAUGAAGUCGGAAUCGCUAGUAAUCGUGGAUCAGAAUGCCACGGUGAAUACGUUUCCCGGGCAA